UGCUGUGCAGGCUCAGAGAAGCUGGAGAGAGGCCACGCAGAGCGGGCCUGGCCAUGUGGAGUGCCCUGUGCCUGGGCUUCUUGCCCAUUGUAGCAGUUUCUCUCGCUGGUGCAGCCACCUUGGAGCAGAACCCCAGGGAAGUUUCCGUGCAAGAGGGAAAAGCAGUCACCUUGCAGUGCCGCAUGAAGGGGGAUUCUAUGAGGUACUACACCAUAUCGUGGUACCGUCAGGGCCCAACUGGCGCUCAGGAAUGGAUUUACAAGGAGGAUGGCACCUAUGGCGAAAGUUUCAAAGAUCGCUUUAAGAUAAAAGAUGAGAAGUUCAUGAACAGAUUCCCACUGCAGAUCCUGGCAGCAAAGCCAGAAGAUGCAGCAACCUACUACUGUCGUGCAAGAAUCACCCUGGAGCAGUUCUACAGCAGU
Molecule: non-coding RNA, 422 nt
Organism: Passer montanus (Eurasian tree sparrow)
Lineage: Eukaryota; Metazoa; Chordata; Aves; Passeriformes; Passeridae
Source: the annotation of a RefSeq genome assembly